Molecule: long non-coding RNA, 5272 nt
Filed under: Salmo salar (Atlantic salmon)
Lineage: Eukaryota; Metazoa; Chordata; Actinopteri; Salmoniformes; Salmonidae
Description: lncRNA (ENSSSAG00000101956.1, ENSSSAG00000109256.1)
Source: RNAcentral
AUCUAUUCAGAGUAUCUGUUCAGAGUAUCUGUUCAGAGUAUCUGUUCAAUCUGUUCAGAGUAUCUGUUCAGAGUAUCUGUUCAGAGUAUCUGUUCAGAGUAUCUGUUCAGAGUAUCUGUUCAGAGUAUCUGUUCAGAGUAUCUGUCACUGACGGCUAACAACCUUAAGAUCCAUGUUUUGUCAAUAUUCAGAAAAAAAUAUGUUUUUCUGUUCUGCAACAUAGGCUUAAACUAUAAGUCAAAACAAAAAUGAUAAUUGUAAAAGUGCAAUGCUUUUUAUGGUAUUUGAUGGAGGUGAAACAAAUGAAUAGGUGUUCCAUUUACAUGCUUUGAUAGCUCAAAAUUCGGUCUAACAAAAUAUAUAUUUCACGUGUCAAAUGAGAGUGUCACUUCUUUCAAGAAUCCCUGAGCAUAUACUGUAAAUAAUAAUAAUAAUAGGGAAGGAGGAUGUGGAGGAGGAUGUGGAGGAGGAGGAGGAGGAGGAGGAGGAGGAUGAGGAGGAUGAGGAGGAUGAUGUGGAGGAGGAGGAUGAGGAGGAGGAUGUGGAGGAGGAGGAGGAGGAGGAGGAGGAGGAUGAGGAGGAUGAGGAGGAGGAGGAGGAUGAGGAGGAGGAGGAGGAGGAGGAGGAGGAGGAUGAGGAGGAUGAGGAGGUGGAUGUGGAGGAGGAGGAGGAGGAGGAGGAGGAGGAUGAGGAGGAUGAGGAGGAUGAUGUGGAGGAGGAGGAUGAGGAGGAGGAUGUGGAGGAGGAGGAGGAGGAGGAGGAGGAUGUGGAGGAGGAGGAGGAUGAGGAGGAAGAGGAGGAGGAGGAGGAGGAGGAUGUGGAGGAGGGGGAUGUGGAGGAGGGGGAUGUGGAGGAAGAUGUGGAGGAGGAGGAGGAUGUGGAGGAGGGGGAUGUGGAGGAGGAGGAGGACAAGGAGGAUGUGGAGGAGAAGUAGGUGGAGGAGGAUGUGGAGGAGGACGAGGACAAGGAGGAUGUGGAGGAGGAGGAUGUGAAGGAGGAGGAUGUGAGGAGGAGGAGGAUGUGGAGGAGGAGGAGGAUGUGAGGAGGAGGAGGAUGUGGAGGAGGAGGAGGAGGAGGAUGUGAAGGAGAGCAGGCAGAGAAGAGGAGAAGGGGAGGAAUAGGAGGAGGAGAGGAGGAUGUGAAGGAGGAGGUGGAUGUGGAGGACGAGGUGGAUGUGGAGGAUGUGAGGAGGAGGAGGAGAGGAGGAUGUAGAGCAGGAGGAGGAGGAAAUCAGUGAUAGUAAUGGCGUUACAUGGGUAAGAUGUGUUUCCAUACAGCGGGUACAGCAAUAAAACACUUCACCAGCAGCUUCAGACCAACCUAAUGCCAUACUAGCACACAUAUAGAGACAUUGCAAGAAAACAAGGUGACACGGAAGAAAGUCUCACAAACAAAGUUUUACUCUAUCCCAACAACCAAUGUUCAAAAGUUAAAUUGUUACACGUUCAAAAACCUCUAAGGUAAAUUAUUUUUUAUUUUUUUUAUGGAGCACAAACACAAUUCAUUAUUUUUUGUUGUCGUCGUUCCAAAAUAUACAGCUGACAUGGCAAAACACCGAACUUUCAGUUUAUGAAAAUACAGUUAGUUGUGUUUGUGUGACAGUGCCGUUUCCGUGGUAAUAGCUUCUAACUGGCUUUUUGAUCAAACACAUUAUGGUCUGAAAUCAACACUGUCACAGCAUAGCAUGGUUCUAUUGUAAAAUAACUGGCCUACUAUAGUAUAUUAAUGUUCCUUCUCUAAAAAAAUACAAUAACACGUGCUAUUCUCUGCAAGAUGAAUGUUAGAUAGCUUGAUUUGAAAGUCUUUAUAGCAAUAUAUUUCUUAAAACCAUGUUCGAAAAUAUUUAAAAUAAGACAAAGAAAGGUGUGGUUUGUCCUAGAAAAGGUCUCCUGGCCACCCUCUAGCCGUGAUCAAAACAUCUGAACAAAAUCACAUUUCUAAAAAUGCAUCACAAAUACAUUUUGUGAGGUUGUUUGCUCUUUCACAUUUUUUUGAGGACAGCCCUGGUUGGUGUGUGAUUGUCAUAUUGGUCAAUUGGACCUGUAAGUCUGAGGAACUCCUUCCUUUCCUUCUGAUUAAUACGCCACAAAGCAUUAAGGACCUCAGUAGAUCUCUGACUGGACCUAUUUCUCAUACAGAUAUGGACAGUAUAUGGAAAGUCAGCAUUGGACAUGUGUCACCGUCCCAGCGGACAAAAUGGAUGUUGAAUGUAAACGUUGUCUUGAAAACAAAUUAACAUGAUAAUAAUAAUAUAAUAAUAUUAAUUAAUAAUAAUACGAUGUCAUUAACUGGAUGGUAUGAUGUCAUCAACUGGAUGGUAUGAUGUCAUCAACUGGAUGGUAUGAUGUCAUUAACUGGAUGGUAUGAUGUCAUUAACUGGAUGGUAUGAUGUCAUUAACUGGAUGGUAUGAUGUCAUCAACUGGAUGGUACGAUGUCAUUAACUGGAUGGUAUGAUGUCAUCAACUGGAUGGUAUGAUGUCAUCAACUGGAUGGUAUGAUGUCAUUAACUGGAUGGUAUGAUGUCAUUAACUGGAUGGUAUGAUGUCAUUAACUGGAUGGUAUGAUGUCAUCAACUGUAUGGUAUGAUGUCAUCAAAUGGAUGGUAUGAUGUCAUCAACUGGAUGGUAUGAUGUCAUUAACUGGAUGGUAUGAUGUCAUUAACUGGAUGGUAUGAUGUCAUUAACUGGAUGGUAUGAUGUCAUCAACUGUAUGGUACAAUGUCAUUAACUGGAUGGUAUGAUGUCAUCAACUGUAUGGUACGAUGUCAUUAACUGGAUGGUAUGAUGUCAUUAACUGUAUGGUACGAUGUCAUUAACUGGAUGGUAUGAUGUCAUCAACUGUAUGGUACGAUGUCAUUAACUGGAUGGUAUGAUGUCAUCAACUGGAUGGUAUGAUGUCAUCAACUGGAUGGUAUGAUGUCAUUAACUGGAUGGUAUGAUGUCAUUAACUGGAUGGUAUGAUGUCAUCAACUGGAUGGUAUGAUGUCAUCAACUGGAUGGUAUGAUGUCAUCAACUGGAUGGUAUGAUGUCAUCAACUGGAUGGUAUGAUGUCAUUAACUGGAUGGUAUGAUGUCAUUAACUGUAUGGUAUGAUGUCACUAACUGUAUGGUAUGAUGUCACUAACUGUAUGGUAAGCUCUGUCUGUGACAUCAUACCAUCAUCAACUACCAGACAAUUAUUAGAAGAAAAAAAUUGAUGGAGCAAAUAAAAUCUGUUUAAAAAAAUAAAUUACAAGAUUUAAAAGAAUACAAGAUUUUCUAAAAUCUUAAAACUGUACUUCGAUUGGAUUUAGAGCCCUUAGCUUGACGUUAUAUGUUAUGGGGGUGAUAACAUAACACUGUUAGAAAUCCAAAAUAACCAAAUCAGUCCUAAUUGUAGAUGUUUUUGAGAGGAGUGAUCCAGGUCAAACUAUCAAUUAUCCUGUUGAUAUAGUCCAUGUCAAAUAUUUAUUAUUAAAAACAAUGAUGACAGAAAUAAAAUGUCAUGUACUUUCACCAUCACACACGCAAUCAAACAUACAUGUACGUAUUUAUAAAGAAGCAAGCAAAUGAUUAUUAACAAACAUAAAACAAAAAUCCAUACAUACAAAAGUGUAUACCAAUCAAGAGAAGAGAGGUCACUACUACUGUGGGAAGAGAUAAGAGGUCCCUACUACUGUGGAAGAGAAAAUAGGUUCCUAUCACUGUGGGAAGAGAAAAGAGGUCCCUACUAAUGUGGGAAGAGAAAAGAGGUCCCUACUACUGUGGGAAGAGAAAAUAGGUUCCUAUCACUGUGGGAAGAGAAAAGAGGUCCCUACUAAUGUGGUAAGAGAAAAGAGGUCCCUACUACUGUGGGAAGAGAAAAUAGGUUCCUAUCACUGUGGGAAGAGAAAAGAGGUCCCUACUACUGUGGGAAGAGAAAAGAGGUCCCUACUAAUGUGGGAAGAGAAAAGAGGUUCCUAUCACUGUGGUAAGAGAAGAGAGGUCCCUACUACUGUGGGAAGAGAAAAUAGGUCCCUAUCACUGUGGAAGAGAAAAGAGGUCCCUAUCACUGUGGAAGAGAAAAGAGGUCCCUAUCACUGUGGAAGAGAAAAGAGGUCCCUAUCACUGUGGAAGAGAAGAGAGGUCCCUAUCACUGUGGAAGAGAAAAGAGGUCCCUAUCAUGUGGGAAGAGAAAAGUAUUAAAUAAAUCUCGAGUGACACAGUGGUGUAUAUUGUACAUUGUUGAACACUUGGCAAAAGUUAAAAAUGAACAUAUACAAGGAUAUGGAAGCAAUCAAGACAUCGAGGACAGCUAGUUGAAGAGCACACCUACAUUAGGGUGGUGAGGGUAAGGGUGAGGCUGAGUGGAGUGGAAUGUGAUGGCAGUGGUGUCUACAAUAACAGCACAAGAUGAGGAGUCAUACUGACAGCCUCGGUGGAACAUGCAGUGCACAACACACAAGGUUUAAGGUCCACAAACUACUGACACUUCCAUCAUAGCAGGGGGAGGCCCACUCCAUCAUCAGGCUCAUAGAAACAGAGAGAGAGAGAGAGAGAGAGAGAGAGAGAGAGAGAGAGAGAGAGAGAGAGAGAGAGAGAGAGACAGACAGAGAGACAGAGAGAGAGAGAGAGAGAGAGACAGAGAGAGAGACAGAGAGAGAGAGAGACAGAUAGAGGGAGAGAGAGAGAGAGAGAGAGAGAGAGAGAGACAGAGAGAGAGAGAGAGAGAGAGAGAGAGACAGAGAGAGACGAGAGAGAGAGAGAGGUGGUGGUGGUGGUGGUGGGGGUGGCAUAGCAUACACACCCUUAGAGCAAAGCUUGGUGUAGCUUCCUGUAUUUCAGGUUACAUCAGCUCUGAUGAUGGCUCUUACUGAGCUGGAGCUCCAGAAUGAUUUCAGGGGUUCACACGGACUGCUCCUUAGGGAAGAGGGGCCGUGGCGCCUCGCCCUGACCUUGGCCUUGGGCGGGGUAGCUGGCGGGGUACAGGGGGUUGUUGGAGAGAGGAUGUGUGUAGGGGUUCUGGGGUAAGAAGGUAACAGGAGGGGGGUAGGCCUGAGUUGGUUGUGACUCGAGACAGUGUUCCUUGUUGUAGACUCGAUGGUAGCUCACAUGUUCAGCCGGGUUGGAUGGUUCUUGCCACCCACAGUUCUGUGGAAACAAAGACAGAAUGAAAAACAAACUUUAAGAAAUUAAGAAUCAAUUACAUUAUUUGGAAAACUUUAGAUAAAGAUGGUUUAUUUUUUUACGUCUGUGUAGUAACACUGCUAUUACACUAGUUACAACAUCUUUCCACUAAUGGUAUUUACAGUGU